Molecule: long non-coding RNA, 235 nt
Filed under: Phaseolus vulgaris (common bean)
Lineage: Eukaryota; Viridiplantae; Streptophyta; Magnoliopsida; Fabales; Fabaceae
Description: long non-coding RNA (PVUL_LNC003554)
Source: RNAcentral
CUUCCUUAAACAUGCUAAAGGGUAGGAAAAUAUAUCAUUAAAGGUUAAGGUGCAAUAUUAACAAAAAUUUCUUGGCCCAAAGGGAUAUAAAAAAAAUGGAAUUCUAAUAUAAAGGUUGGCUUUUUGGCCCUGGCUCCUAAUUAACACAAACAAAUGCCUCAAUCAUCUUCAUGCUCUUUUAUGAUGCAACAAAAAUAAAAAUUAAGCAACCACAACUGUCAAUUCAUCAGUAAAA